This 465-nucleotide ribosomal RNA is filed under the name Vreelandella stevensii. RNAcentral's name for it is "partial 16S ribosomal RNA". It matches the Rfam family "Bacterial small subunit ribosomal RNA", at positions 338 to 795 of the family's 1533-position model. The record is from RNAcentral. Lineage: Bacteria; Pseudomonadati; Pseudomonadota; Gammaproteobacteria; Oceanospirillales; Halomonadaceae.
CCUACGGGAGGCUGCAGUGGGGAAUAUUGGACAAUGGGGGCAACCCUGAUCCAGCCAUGCCGCGUGUGUGAAGAAGGCCCUCGGGUUGUAAAGCACUUUCAGUGAGGAAGAACGCCUGGUGGUUAAUACCCAUCAGGAAAGACAUCACUCACAGAAGAAGCACCGGCUAUCUCCGUGCCAGCAGCCGCGGUAAUACGGAGGGUGCGAGCGUUAAUCGGAAUUACUGGGCGUAAAGCGCGCGUAGGUGGCUUGAUAAGCCGGUUGUGAAAGCCCCGGGCUCAACCUGGGAACGGCAUCCGGAACUGUCAAGCUAGAGUGCAGGAGAGGAAGGUAGAAUUCCCGGUGUAGCGGUGAAAUGCGUAGAGAUCGGGAGGAAUACCAGUGGCGAAGGCGGCCUUCUGGACUGACACUGACACUGAGGUGCGAAAGCGUGGGUAGCAAACAGGAUUAGAUACCCUAGUAGUU